This is a long non-coding RNA of Raphanus sativus (radish), 1340 nucleotides long. RefSeq lists it as uncharacterized. The record is from RefSeq and is a predicted model, not a curated record. The transcript has 4 exons. Lineage: Eukaryota; Viridiplantae; Streptophyta; Magnoliopsida; Brassicales; Brassicaceae.
UAUUUUAAAGGUUCUUUACAUUUUGCAACUUCUGGUUUUUAAAGCCGACAAUGGAGUUUCGACUGGGUUACGAGAGAGAACUAAUCACGGCUAAUCAAUUGUCGUUUCGCUUCCGCUGAAUUUCUUCUCACAGGCAAUGGGAAACAGAAUCGUUACGUCAGUGAAUCUUCAGAUAUAAAUACGUGGUGAGUCUUGAUCCUGUAAACUUAGAACUUUUUUGAGCAGAAUGGUAAACUCCUCUCUCCUCCUUGCUGAAUUGAAACCGGUCGCUGUAGCACCACCAUAGAAGUUUGUCUUCUCAUUUUCUGGGAGGCCAAGAAUGUAAAAAAAGAGGCAGUGAGCUGAUGGGCGUUGAUAUACUCCUCCUUGAUGCUAAGGUAGUCCCGACGAUAUUAAUAUCAAACCUUUGAUUUUUCCUUUAAGAUCUUUGACAGUAUCAAACAUUUGAUCUACAUAUUUUUUAAGUCGGCCCUUGCACCGUCAGUGUCCACCGUUUGAAUACUUUACAUUCUUUCAAUUCUGCAUUGUUUUCAUGUUUGGGCACUAUUUUCUUCUUAAAUGUUAACCUCUCCUCUCAAUUGGAGGAACUGCUCAGCCUCAGGUUACACUUAACAACUUCUCUGUAUAAAUUACUUACACAUUUAGUGCUUCUCUUACCAAUUUCCACCACUUAAAAGCACAUGCAAUCGAGUUUCUCUGCGCAGGCAAGGUCACCAAUAAUAAGACCAAUGGCUGGGGCUAUAUCUCUUUCUAAGUGUUCAAAGAAGCUCCAGCGAAGGAUCUCAUCGUUCACAUUCAUCAGUUGUUAUGAUAGCAACGCUGUCGGCAUCCUCAGGUAUUGGGUGGAUCGGAGCUUAUUGCGGCAGAUGAAAGUGAUGAAGCUGUGUUUGUUGGCUUCUGUGGGAAGAUGACAAAAUUAACUAAUAUCAGAACACUUAAUCUGGGCAUCUUCUGGCUGCAAGUUUUGAAAACCUUGAAGACAGUCAGCUCCCUCUGUACAUUGCUGACCUUGUGGGCAAGAGUUACAUGUUCCAGCUUAGUUUGCCCCACUUCAACUUUACUUCCACACAUCAGACGUUCACAAUCUCGAGUUUUUUCAACUAGCGUCAGCGUCUACCAAUUUCAGGUUUACUUGUGGGAAAGUAAGCUACUCACUAUACACACUUCAACCUUCUUUCCCACAUAUGGAGAUGCCAAUAUGUUUGUUUGCGAUUACAGAACGGCACUGGUGGCCUUGGUGAUAAUAUGACACUUUUAUAUCUUCCUCUGCUGUUAAACUAUUUUUUACAACUAUAAAACAAUCCUUUUUUUGAUCAAGCAUAUCAAUGAACCUUUCUGUU